Molecule: long non-coding RNA, 455 nt
Filed under: Trifolium pratense (red clover)
Lineage: Eukaryota; Viridiplantae; Streptophyta; Magnoliopsida; Fabales; Fabaceae
Description: long non-coding RNA (TPRA_LNC006342)
Source: RNAcentral
GUUCUGGACUAGACUAAUGCUAGUCCACCUAGACCCUCACAAAGUCCACAUGGCUUGCCCAACCACCUCCAUGUCAGCAGCAUGGCACAACCUCUCCACCAAGAUAGGGUAAAAUUACUACUCUACCCACUAUCCAAGGGUAAUAUCUUGGCAGUCCCUCUUAAUGGGCCUUGGCUAGUCCAGCCCACUAAGAGGACCUUUGGCCCAGAGCUGGGGGCUAUAAAUACUCUCCCUCUUGGGAGAGUAAGGUAGAUACUAUUCAUUAUUGCAAUUACUCUCUCUCUCUAACUUCUCUCUAGUAUCUCUUUUGCUCUCUACCCUUACUGACUUAGGCAUCGGAGCACCUGCAGGUACAACCCCCCCCUCCGUGGAUCAUCUGCUCGGAUUACAGCCUACCACCUGCUCAACGGACUUCCAGCUGGCCUUCUACCUGUUCUGAUCAACAGUUAAGAUCA